GCGCCAGAUGGGGCGGGAGGAGGGGAGACCCGGCACCCACCGGCCCAGAGCUGCCUGACGCGGCCUGGGCGGACCCCGCCGCCCGGGUGCCUAGGCACGAUUCCAGGGAUCCAGGGUAAAGCGGUUCGCGCGGGAACAGGAGGAUAUGUCAGGCACAGGCUAUUCCCCAUCACUAUAGCCACAGAGGACUGGUCCAGAUGCGGAUCCCGAUCUGUGCUUCUUCAGAUGGUUGGAUACCAAGAAAGCUGCUCAGGAAACCUUACAACACAAUGGAAAAAACAUUGGAGCUCCUGGUUAAGCCUUCAGACUCCAGGAGGCACACCAUUGGGCUCCUCAAGUUCUCACCCCUUUGGUCUCAGACUGAAUUAUACCACCAACUUCCCUGGUUCUCCACCUUGCAGAUGGCAGAUUGUGGAACUUCUUGGCCUCCAUAGUUGCAUGAAGCAAUUCUCAUAUUAAUUCGCCACUUACAUAUCUAUACAUAUUCUCUUGGGUCUGUUUCUCUGGAGAACCCUGACUUAUACAUGACCUUCAUGUAUAGCUAAAUAACAAUGUAUUAAUAUUUUCCACAGAGGUGUCAUGUCUCUGUAUAUUAAAUGAUCCAAGGCCAGGCGCGGUGGCUCACGCCUGUAAUCC
This 636-nucleotide long non-coding RNA is filed under the name Homo sapiens (human). RNAcentral describes it as "non-protein coding PTPRD-AS2:2". Lineage: Eukaryota; Metazoa; Chordata; Mammalia; Primates; Hominidae. The record is from RNAcentral.